Molecule: non-coding RNA, 122 nt
Organism: Hordeum vulgare subsp. vulgare (domesticated barley)
Lineage: Eukaryota; Viridiplantae; Streptophyta; Magnoliopsida; Poales; Poaceae
Source: Rfam
UUUAUACUCCCUCCGUCCCAAAAUUCAUGUCUUAGAUUUGUAUCUAGUCACAUUUUAGUAUUUAGAUACAUUCAUUUUUAAAUAAACCUAAGACAAGAAUUUUGAGACGGAGGGAGUAAGAU